CCUACGGGUGGCAGCAGUCGAGAAUCAUUCACAAUGGGGGAAACCCUGAUGGUGCGACGCCGCGUGGGUGAAUGAAGGUCUCGGGUUGGUAAACUCUUGUCAUGUGGGAGCAAAUUAAAAAGAUAGUACCACAAGAGGAAGAGACGGCCAACUCUGUGCCAGCAGGCGCGGUAAUACAGAGGGUGCAAGCGUUGUUCGGAAUCACUGGGCGUAAAGGGAGCGUAGGCGGUUUCAUAAGUCGUGUGUGAAAGGCGAGGGCUUAACCCGCGGAAAGCACAUGAUACUGGGAAACUAGAGUAAUGGAGAGGAAAGCGGAAUUCUCGGUGUAGCGGUGAAAUGCGUAGAUAUCGGGAGGAACACUAGUGGCGAAGGCGGGUUCCUGGACAGUAACUGACGCUGAGGCACGAAAGCAAGGGGAGCGAAAGGGAUUAGAUACCCGAGUAGUC
This 446-nucleotide ribosomal RNA is filed under the name uncultured bacterium. RNAcentral describes it as "partial 16S ribosomal RNA". It matches the Rfam family "Bacterial small subunit ribosomal RNA", at positions 338 to 795 of the family's 1533-position model. The record is from RNAcentral.